This 467-nucleotide ribosomal RNA is filed under the name uncultured bacterium. RNAcentral describes it as "partial 16S ribosomal RNA". It matches the Rfam family "Bacterial small subunit ribosomal RNA", at positions 28 to 506 of the family's 1533-position model. The record is from RNAcentral.
GACGAACGCUGGCGGCGUGCUUAACACAUGCAAGUCGAACGGAAAGGCCCUGCUUUUGUGGGGUGCUCGAGUGGCGAACGGGUGAGUAACACGUGAGUAACCUGCCCUUGACUUUGGGAUAACUUCAGGAAACUGGGGCUAAUACCGGAUAGGAGCUCCUGCUGCAUGGUGGGGGUUGGAAAGUUUCGGCGGUUGGGGAUGGACUCGCGGCUUAUCAGCUUGUUGGUGGGGUAGUGGCUUACCAAGGCUUUGACGGGUAGCCGGCCUGAGGGGGUGACCGGCCACAUUGGGACGGAGAUACGGCCCAGACUCCUACGGGAGGCAGGAGGGGGGAAUAUUGCACGAUGGGCGGAAGCCUGAUGCAGCAACGCCGCGUGCGGGAUGACGGCCUUCGGGUGGUAAACCGCUUUCGCCUGUGACGAAGCGUGAGUGACGGUAAUGGGUAAAGAAGCACCGGCUAACUACGU